Molecule: ribosomal RNA, 501 nt
Filed under: uncultured bacterium
Lineage: Bacteria
Description: partial 16S ribosomal RNA
Rfam family: Bacterial small subunit ribosomal RNA
Source: RNAcentral
AUUGAACGCUGGUGGCAGGCUUAACACAUGCAAGUCGAGCGGGCGAGGUUUCUUAGCUAACUGAGCUAGAUGCGGACGGGUGAGCAAAGGUUAGGAAUGUGCCUAUUAGUGGGGGUACACAUUGCGAAAGUGAUGAUAAUACCGCAUAUGUACUACGGGAGAAAGCAGGGGACUUUCGGGAUGUGUGAGAAUAGAUGAGCGUAAGUCGGAUUAGCUCGUCGGUGGGGUAAAGGCCUACCAAGACGACGAUCUGUAGCGGGUCUGAGAGGAUGAUCCGCCACACUGGGACUGAGACACGGCCCAGACUCCUACGGGAGGCAGCAGUGGGGAAUAUUGGACAAUGGGGGGAACCCUGAUCCAGCCAUGCCGCGUGUGUGAAGAAGGCCUUUUGGUUGUAAAGCACUUUAAGUGGGGAGGAGGCUCCCUUAGUUAAUACCUAAGAAGAGUGGACGUUACCCACAGAAUAAGCACCGGCUAACUCUGUGCCAGCCGCCGCGGUAA